Molecule: ribosomal RNA, 737 nt
Filed under: uncultured bacterium
Lineage: Bacteria
Description: bacterial SSU rRNA
Rfam family: Bacterial small subunit ribosomal RNA
Source: RNAcentral
AUUGAACGCUGGCGGCAUGCCUUACACAUGCAAGUCGAACGGCAGCACGGGGGCAACCCUGGUGGCGAGUGGCGAACGGGUGAGUAAUGCAUCGGAACGUACCCAGUUGUGGGGGAUAGCCCGGCGAAAGCCGGAUUAAUACCGCAUACGACCUGAGGGUGAAAGCGGGGGUACCGAAAGGCCUCGCGCAGUUGGAGCGGCCGAUGUCGGAUUAGCUAGUUGGUGGGGUAAAGGCUUACCAAGGCGACGAUCCGUAGCUGGUCUGAGAGGACGACCAGCCACACUGGGACUGAGACACGGCCCAGACUCCUACGGGAGGCAGCAGUGGGGCAAUUUUGGACAAUGGGGGCAAGCCCUGAUCCAGCCAUGCCGCGUGCGGGAAGAAGGCCUUCGGGUUGUAAACCGCUUUGUCAGGGAAGAAAUCUCUGGGUUAAUACCUCGGGAGGAUGACGGUACCUGAAGAAUAAGCACCGGCUAACUACGUGCCAGCAGCCGCGGUAAUACGUAGGGUGCGAGCGUUAAUCGGAAUUACUGGGCGUAAAGCGUGCGCAGGCGGUUUUGUAAGAUCGAUGUGAAAUCCCCGGGGACUCAACCUGGGAACUGCAUUGGUGACUGCAAGGCUGGAGUGCGGCAGAGGGGGUAUGGAAUUCCGCGUGUAGCAGGUGAAAUGCGUAGAUAUGCGGAGGAAGCACCGAUGGCGAAGGCAAUCCCUGGGCCUGCACUGACGCUCAUGCACG